Molecule: ribosomal RNA, 484 nt
Filed under: uncultured bacterium
Lineage: Bacteria
Description: partial 16S ribosomal RNA
Rfam family: Bacterial small subunit ribosomal RNA
Source: RNAcentral
AUUGAACGCUGGCGGCAUGCUUUACACAUGCAAGUUGAACGGCAGCGCGGGCUUCGGCCUGGCGGCGAGUGGCGAACGGGUGAGUAAUGCAUCGGAACGUGCCCAGCAUUUGGGGAUAGCCCGGCGAAAGGCGGAUUAAUACCGCAUACGACCUGAACGUGAAAGCGGGGGUCCUAAAGUCCUCGCGCUAAUUGAGUGGCCGAUGGCGUAUACGCUAGUUGGUGGGGUAAAGGCUUACCACGGGGACCAUCCAUGGCUGGUCCGAUAGGACGACUGGCCACACUGGGAAUGAGCCACGGCCCAGACUCCUACGGGAGGCAGCAGUGGGGAGUUUUGGACAUUGGGGGCAAUCCUAAUCCAGCCAGGCCGCGUGCGGGAAGAGGGCCUUCGGGUUGUAAACCGCUUUUGUUCGGGAAGAAAUCCUUUAGACUAAUACCCCGGGGGGGUGACGGUACCGGAAGAAUAAGCACCGGCUAACUACGUG